GAUCAUGGCUCAGGACGAACGCUGGCGGCAUGCCUAAUACAUGCAAGUCGAACGCGACCAGCCGGUGCUUGCACUGGCGAAGUCGAGUGGCGAACGGGUGAGUAACACGUGAGAAACCUACCCUGGAGUGGGGAAUAACUCGAAGAAAUUCGAGCUAAUACCGCAUACCUUCUUACCGUCGAAUGGUGGUUUGAAGAAAGAUUUAUCGCUCUGGGAGGGUCUCGCGGCCUAUCAGCUAGUUGGUGAGGUAAACGGCUCACCAAGGCAUCGACGGGUAGCUGGUCUGAGAGGACGAUCAGCCACACUGGAACUGAGACACGGUCCAGACUCCUACGGGAGGCAGCAGUAGGGAAUCUUGCGCAAUGGGCGAAAGCCCUGACGCAGCAAUGCCGCGUGCGGGACGAAGGCCCUAGGGUCGUAAGCCGCUUUCAGUAGGGACGAAAAUGACGGUACCUGCAGAAGAAGCUCCGGCCAACUACGUG
RNAcentral lists this ribosomal RNA (482 nucleotides) under uncultured bacterium. RNAcentral's name for it is "bacterial SSU rRNA". It matches the Rfam family "Bacterial small subunit ribosomal RNA", at positions 15 to 507 of the family's 1533-position model. The record is from RNAcentral.